GACGAACGCUGGCGGCGUGCCUAAUACAUGCAAGUUGAGCGCUAAAGGUUGGUACUUGUAGCGACUGGAUGAGCAGCGCACGGGUGAGUCACGCGUGGGGCCUCUGCCUUUGAGCGGGGGACCACAUUUGGACACGAAUGCUAAUACCGCAUAAAAACUUUCAACACAAGUUUUAAGUUUGAAAGAUGCAAUUGCAUCACUCACAGAUGAUCCCGCGUUGUAUUAGCUAGUUGGUGAGGUACAGGCUCACCAAGGCGAUGAUACAUAGCCGAACUGAGAGGGCGGGCGGCCGGAUUGGGAGGGAGACACGGCCCAUAGUCACUGGGGAGGGAGCCGGAGGGAAUCUUGAGCAAUGGGCGAGAGUCUGACCGAGCAGCGCGGCGGGAGGGAGGAAGGUUUUCGGGUCGGAAAACUCUGUUGGUGGGGAAGAACGUGGGUGAGAGUGUAACGCAGAGCAAGUGACGGUAACUACUCAGAAAGCGACGGCUAACUACGUG
Molecule: ribosomal RNA, 497 nt
Filed under: uncultured bacterium
Lineage: Bacteria
Description: partial 16S ribosomal RNA
Rfam family: Bacterial small subunit ribosomal RNA
Source: RNAcentral